ACUCCUACGGGAGGCAGCAGUGGGGAAUAUUGGACAAUGGGGGCAACCCUGAUCCAGCCAUGCCGCGUGAGUGAUGAAGGCCUUAGGGUUGUAAAGCUCUUUCAGCGAGGAGGAUAAUGACGUUACGUCGCAGAAGAAGCCCCGGCUAACUUUCGUGCCAGCAGCCGCGGUAAUACGAGGGGCGUAGCGUUGUUCGGAAUCACUGGGCGUAAAGCGCACGUAGGCGGAUUGAUAAGUUAGGGGUGAAAUCCCGGGGCUCAACCUCGGAACUGCCUUUGAUACUGUCAGUCUUGAGUCCGAGAGAGGUGAGNGGACUCCGAGUGUAGAGGUGAAAUUCGUAGAUAUUCGGAAGAACACCAGUGGCGAA
RNAcentral lists this ribosomal RNA (367 nucleotides) under uncultured bacterium. Its description in RNAcentral is "bacterial SSU rRNA". It matches the Rfam family "Bacterial small subunit ribosomal RNA", at positions 335 to 719 of the family's 1533-position model. The record is from RNAcentral.